RNAcentral lists this ribosomal RNA (720 nucleotides) under uncultured bacterium. RNAcentral describes it as "bacterial SSU rRNA". It matches the Rfam family "Bacterial small subunit ribosomal RNA", at positions 46 to 784 of the family's 1533-position model. The record is from RNAcentral.
ACGAAGCAUUUGCGACAGAUUUCUUCGGGAUGAAGUUGCUUAUGACUGAGUGGCGGACGGGUGAGUAACGCGUGGGUAACCUGCCUUGUACUGGGGGAUAGCAGCUGGAAACGGCUGGUAAUACCGCAUAAGCGCACAAUGUUGCAUGACAUGGUGUGAAAAACUCCGGUGGUAUAAGAUGGACCCGCGUCUGAUUAGCUAGUUGGUGAGAUAACAGCCCACCAAGGCGACGAUCAGUAGCCGACCUGAGAGGGUGACCGGCCACAUUGGGACUGAGACACGGCCCAGACUCCUACGGGAGGCAGCAGUGGGGAAUAUUGCACAAUGGAGGAAACUCUGAUGCAGCGACGCCGCGUGAGUGAAGAAGUAAUUCGUUAUGUAAAGCUCUAUCAGCAGGGAAGAUAGUGACGGUACCUGGCUAAGAAGCUCCGGCUAAAUACGUGCCAGCAGCCGCGGUAAUACGUAUGGAGCAAGCGUUAUCCGGAUUUACUGGGUGUAAAGGGAGUGUAGGUGGCCAUGCAAGUCAGAAGUGAAAAUCCGGGGCUCAACCCCGGAACUGCUUUUGAAACUGUAAGGCUGGAGUGCAGGAGGGGUGAGUGGAAUUCCUAGUGUAGCGGUGAAAUGCGUAGAUAUUAGGAGGAACACCAGUGGCGAAGGCGGCUCACUGGACUGUAACUGACACUGAGGCUCGAAAGCGUGGGGAGCAAACAGGAUUAGAUA